This 827-nucleotide long non-coding RNA is filed under the name Medicago truncatula (barrel medic). RNAcentral's name for it is "lncRNA gene29880". Lineage: Eukaryota; Viridiplantae; Streptophyta; Magnoliopsida; Fabales; Fabaceae. The record is from RNAcentral.
UAUUAUUACCGUCGUUUUCAAUUCUUGCGAUUUAGUCUAUAGAAUUUUAUAUUUAGGGACUGAGUAUUAAAAUUAUGCUGUUUUAAAAGCAAUGUUGAGGGUAUUUGUUUUAAGAAUUUGUAUUAUUCUAAAAUUAUACUAUGAGCUAUUAAUCAUAUAUAGACAAAAGUAGUGAGUGAUGAAAUGGUGCACACAUGCAUAGGUUGUAAGGAAACAAAGUUCAAUUUUCUUCUUUUUCUUAAUUUCCCCUUUUCAUGAGAAAAAGUAGAAUCACUAGGAGUGUGUUGGGCAAAUAGAAAGAUGAUGCAUGCAAAGCUUUAAUAAUGUCUUUUAAGCUCUGCCUACGACGACGAGGACAUUGGUAUGCGUUAAACCUUUGCUACAAGGAUAUGUAGCACACGUGAUUUCCCUGAGAGCCAAAGCAUAGAUAUACUGCAAAUUAAGUGAAGAGCUUUGGAUAGAUUGAAAUUUUUGGAAAAGUGCUUUUAAGAUACAACAUCCUUUUCUUAAAAGCAGUUUUAUUUUCUUUGGUUUACAAAAUUUCCCUGUCUACCACCUAAUGAGCAUCAUGAAAAUUUCUUUUUGUUCUUUUAAAGCCCUAAAGGGUGAAAUUAUGAAAAUCAAAGAGAAUAUAAUCAUUUGUUGAGGCAUGACCCUACACGGUUUAUGUCUUGAUCUUUAGUCGACACGAUUUUAAAACUUGUGAUUCUCACUAUAAGAAUCUUUUAAGAGUUAGAAUUUCAUUUGUAGAAAAUUUGACUAACUAAUAUCUCUUUCCUUUCACGGUACUUAUACAUGCUUUUGCUUUUAAUUAUCAUUCUUGCGUU